Molecule: ribosomal RNA, 546 nt
Filed under: uncultured bacterium
Lineage: Bacteria
Description: bacterial SSU rRNA
Rfam family: Bacterial small subunit ribosomal RNA
Source: RNAcentral
UACGGGAGGCAGCAGUAGGGAAUCUUCCACAAUGGACGCAAGUCUGAUGGAGCAACGCCGCGUGAGUGAAGAAGGUUUUCGGCUCGUAAAGCUCUGUUGUUGGUGAAGAAGGACAGGGGUAGUAACUGACCUUUGUUUGACGGUAAUCAAUUAGAAAGUCACGGCUAACUACGUGCCAGCAGCCGCGGUAAUACGUAGGUGGCAAGCGUUGUCCGGAUUUAUUGGGCGUAAAGCGAGUGCACGGCGGCUUGAUAAGUUUGAUGUGAAAGCCUUCGGCUCAACCGGAGAAUUGCAUCAGAAACUGUCGAGCUUGAGUACAGAAGAGGAGAGUGGAACUCCAUGUGUAGCGGUGAAAUGCGUAGAUAUAUGGAAGAACACCGGUGGCGAAGGCGGCUCUCUGGUCUGUUACUGACGCUGAGGCUCGAAAGCAUGGGUAGCGAACAGGAUUAGAUACCCUGGUAGUCCAUGCCGUAAACGAUGAGUGCUAAGUGUUGGGAGGUUUCCGCCUCUCAGUGCUGCAGCUAACGCAUUAAGCACUCCGCCUGG